RNAcentral lists this ribosomal RNA (22 nucleotides) under Lactarius salicis-reticulatae. RNAcentral describes it as "partial 18S ribosomal RNA". Lineage: Eukaryota; Fungi; Basidiomycota; Agaricomycetes; Russulales; Russulaceae. The record is from RNAcentral.
UGACCUGCCGGAAGGAUCAUUA